Molecule: long non-coding RNA, 1102 nt
Organism: Sebastes umbrosus (honeycomb rockfish)
Lineage: Eukaryota; Metazoa; Chordata; Actinopteri; Perciformes; Sebastidae
Exons: 6
Source: RefSeq, a predicted model, not a curated record
UGCACCUGGUCCACCUUUUUCUGGAGUUCCAGCUGCAGUGUCUUCCAGGCUUGUUCUUUUUUGGCCAGCUUCUUUGCAGAUCUGUCCUUCAAAGCUUUGAAUUUUUCCUGCCAGACUGUCUCGCUGUCUAGGAGUUCACCUCCUUUGAGCUGCAGCUGGCUGGUCUCUUUGAUUUUUUGAGAGAGACCCUCUACUUCAUUGUCCCUGCGGUGGAGCUCAUCUUUCACCUGGUCCACCUUUUUCUGGAGUUCCAGCUGCAGUGUCUUCUGGGCUUGUUCUUUUUCGGCCAGGUCCUUUGCAGAUCUGUUCUUCAAAGCAGUCUCGCUGUCUAGGAGUUCACCUCCUUUGAGCUGCAGCUGGCUAGUGGUCUCUUUGAGUUUUUCAGAGAGUGCUGGUUUGCCCUGAUGCAAACUUGGCAGAGGCGCCAGUUUUUCCUGAUGCACAGUUGGUCGAGGUGCCAGUUUGCGCUGAUGCCAACUUGGUAGAGGUGCCGGUCUGCCCUGAUUUGAAGGUGGCCGAGGUGCCAGUUUGCCCUGAUGCACAGUUGGUAGAGGUGCCGGUUUGCCCUGAUGCAAACUUGGCAGAGGUGCCGGUUUGCCCUGAUGCAAACUUGGUAGAGGUGCCAGUUUGCCCUGAUGCACAGGUGGCAGAGGUGCCAGUUUGUCCUGAUGCACAGUUGGCAGAGGUGCCAGUUUGUCCUGAUGCACAGUUGGCAGAGGUGCCAGUUUGUCCUGAUACACAGGUGGCAGAGGUGCCGGUUUGCCCUGAUGCAAACUUGGUAGAGGUGCCAGUUUGCCCUGAUGCACAGGUGGCAGAGGUGCCAGUUUGCCCUGAUGCACAGGUGGCAGAGGUGCCAGUUUGUCCUGAUGCAAACUUGGUAGAGGUGCCAGUUUGCCCUGAUGCACAGGUGGCAGAGGUGCCAGUUUGCCCUGAUGCAAACUUGGCAGAGGUGCCAGUUUGCCCUCAUGCAAACUUGGCAGAGGGCCCGGUUUGCCCUGAUGCAAACUUGGCAGAGGUGCCAGUUCGCCCUCAUGCAAAUUUGGCAGAGGGGCCGGUUUGCCCUGAUGCAAACUUCGCAGAGGUGCCAGUUUAGCCCGAUGCA